Molecule: transfer RNA, 74 nt
Filed under: Bacteroidales bacterium
Lineage: Bacteria; Pseudomonadati; Bacteroidota; Bacteroidia; Bacteroidales
Also listed under: 2 other names
Description: tRNA-Ile
Rfam family: tRNA
About the family: Transfer RNA (tRNA) molecules are approximately 80 nucleotides in length. Their secondary structure includes four short double-helical elements and three loops (D, anti-codon, and T loops).
Source: RNAcentral
GGGCCGAUAGCUCAGCCGGUUAGAGCAUCUGACUCAUAAUCAGAGGGUCCGGGGUUCGAGUCCCUGUCGGCCCA